GUCCACGCCCUAAACGAUGCAUACUUGGUGUGGGCCAUUCAUUUGGUCUGUGCCGGAGCUAACGCGUUAAGUAUGCCGCCUGGGGAGUACGGUCGCAAGGCUGAAAACUCAAAAGGAAUUGACGGGGGCCCGCACAAGCGGUGGAGCAUGUGGUUCAAUUCGACGCAAACGCGAAGAACCUUACCUGGGGCUCGAAACGGCUUUUGGAAUCAAUCCUCAGAAAACGAGGACUUCUCGCAAGAGACCGGAGUCGAGGUGCUGCAUGGCUGUCGU
Molecule: ribosomal RNA, 273 nt
Filed under: uncultured bacterium
Lineage: Bacteria
Description: partial 16S ribosomal RNA
Rfam family: Bacterial small subunit ribosomal RNA
Source: RNAcentral